RNAcentral lists this long non-coding RNA (575 nucleotides) under Bos taurus (domestic cattle). RNAcentral describes it as "long non-coding RNA NONBTAT025161". Lineage: Eukaryota; Metazoa; Chordata; Mammalia; Artiodactyla; Bovidae. The record is from RNAcentral.
GGAUAACAUCACACCAACAAUGUUAACUUUAUACAAGUAUUUGUCAAGAAAAAAAUAGGGCAUCUCCUCCACCAUUCACAAGCUUAUGUGUUGUUUUAUUUUCUUCUUGAGUCCCUGAUAAAAUAAGUCAUUAAACCAUAAAAUUUUUCCACUUCAAAUUUUCAGAAGGCAACAGGCACUUUGAUGUAUAUUGGUGUGUAACAAAUAUAGUAACUCUUUAUAUAUUCUACUAUCUCUCUUCUACUUGGGUAUUUUUAUCUGGUAAAUCUUUGGUCCUUGAGCAUACUUUCUUUGCUACAGCUGUUUUUGCUUGCAUUUUCACAUUUUAAAAAAUGUGAGCUAUGCACGCAGCUGGAAAUAAUGGAUUGUGUCAUCAUAAGUUCUGCUGUUUGUUAUGAGAACUGCACCAACCUACUACUGUUCACUUGGAGCAAGCCAUUUCUAUUAGCGCAAUGGGAGAGUUCCACAGAUAGUAUUCACUACAAGCCUCAGCAAUCCCAAUGUUGGUGUACCCCUUCUUUCUGUACCAUUGUUACUAUCUGAACUCCUGAAUUGAUAAUUAAGUUGGAGGGAGA